GGGGUUGUAGCUCAGUUGGUAGAGUGCUUGCCUCACAUGUACAAAGCCCUGGGUUCAAUCCCCAGCACCACCA
Molecule: transfer RNA, 73 nt
Filed under: Ictidomys tridecemlineatus (thirteen-lined ground squirrel)
Lineage: Eukaryota; Metazoa; Chordata; Mammalia; Rodentia; Sciuridae
Description: Spermophilus tridecemlineatus (thirteen-lined ground squirrel) tRNA
Rfam family: tRNA
About the family: Transfer RNA (tRNA) molecules are approximately 80 nucleotides in length. Their secondary structure includes four short double-helical elements and three loops (D, anti-codon, and T loops). Further hydrogen bonds mediate the characteristic L-shaped molecular structure. tRNAs have two regions of fundamental functional importance: the anti-codon, which is responsible for specific mRNA codon recognition, and the 3' end, to which the tRNAs corresponding amino acid is attached (by aminoacyl-tRNA synthetases). tRNAs cope with the degeneracy of the genetic code in two manners: having more than one tRNA (with a specific anti-codon) for a particular amino acid; and 'wobble' base-pairing, i.e. permitting non-standard base-pairing at the 3rd anti-codon position.
Source: Rfam by way of RNAcentral